GAACUCCUGGGAUGUGCGAGGCCCCUUUUUAUUUUGAACCUACAUCGACAUAAAGGGACUCCAAGAUCGCAGCUCGGAUGUCAGACCUCUCGUUGUGGUAGGCAGAAGCGCUGUUGAGGACACCCACCUAGCUCUGGCUAGGCGUCAAAGAGAAGGGAACGGCAUUCCGGGAUUUAA
RNAcentral lists this non-coding RNA (177 nucleotides) under Eubacteriales bacterium. Its description in RNAcentral is "6S RNA". It matches the Rfam family "6S / SsrS RNA". Rfam says of the family: E. coli 6S RNA was the first non coding RNA to be sequenced, but its function was unknown until recently. It consists of 184 nucleotides that fold into an extended hairpin structure with a large single-stranded internal bulge. The record is from RNAcentral. Lineage: Bacteria; Bacillati; Bacillota; Clostridia; Eubacteriales.